GGGCUCAACUUUGGCAGCACAUAUACUAAAGUUGAAACCAUACAGAGAAUAUUAGCAGGUCCCUAUGCAAGGAUGAUACACAAAUUGGAGAGAAUUUUUUU
This 101-nucleotide small nuclear RNA is filed under the name Urocitellus parryii (Arctic ground squirrel). The record is from RNAcentral. Lineage: Eukaryota; Metazoa; Chordata; Mammalia; Rodentia; Sciuridae.